GGAAUAUUGCACAAUGGGCGCAAGCCUGAUGCAGCCAUGCCGCGUGUAUGAAGAAGGCCUUCGGGUUGUAAAGUACUUUCAGCGGGGAGGAAGGGAGUAAAGUUAAUACCUUUGCUCAUUGACGUUACCCGCAGAAGAAGCACCGGCUAACUCCGUGCCAGCAGCCGCGGUAAUACGGAGGGUGCAAGCGUUAAUCGGAAUUACUGGGCGUAAAGCGCACGCAGGCGGUUUGUUAAGUCAGAUGUGAAAUCCCCGGGCUCAACCUGGGAACUGCAUCUGAUACUGG
This 286-nucleotide ribosomal RNA is filed under the name Streptococcus pneumoniae. Its description in RNAcentral is "partial 16S ribosomal RNA". It matches the Rfam family "Bacterial small subunit ribosomal RNA", at positions 358 to 636 of the family's 1533-position model. The record is from RNAcentral. Lineage: Bacteria; Bacillati; Bacillota; Bacilli; Lactobacillales; Streptococcaceae.